AGAAGGGCUUCUGGAUCAGACAACUCUACAGCCCAGGCUUGAUGCUCAGGCUUAUAGGGAAUGCAGAGGAGACCCUACAUCCAGCUCAGCUUCUUUCGAGAGCCCCUUCAAUGGAGACUUCAACUACUCGCAAAGUAGAAGGCCUCUGCUUUGGACCCUCACUCGCAACAAUGUGGGAGGUGGAAGGAGAAGGUAACUCUGGGAAAAUGGACUCCUUGAGCAGAUUUGAUUAAGGAAGACCAUGAGAACAAUGGAGAGACUGGAGAAAAGAAACAGGAAGAGUGCUACAGUGGUAAAACACAAUGCUCUGCUUGGCAGUCCCACAUGGGAAGGUUACUGGUUCGUCUAGAACCCCUGCUGAGUACUU
Long non-coding RNA from Tupaia belangeri chinensis (Chinese tree shrew), 367 nucleotides. RefSeq lists it as uncharacterized. The record is from RefSeq and is a predicted model, not a curated record. The transcript is spliced from 3 exons. Lineage: Eukaryota; Metazoa; Chordata; Mammalia; Scandentia; Tupaiidae.